Molecule: long non-coding RNA, 800 nt
Organism: Anopheles stephensi (Asian malaria mosquito)
Lineage: Eukaryota; Metazoa; Arthropoda; Insecta; Diptera; Culicidae
Exons: 2
Source: RefSeq, a predicted model, not a curated record
UAUUCGUGGUGGAAUAUUUUCGAUGCACCGGAGAUUAACUGGAUGGCUUGUUGAAGAGGCUUUUUAUCGUCCAAAAGCACCAUUUGAGUUCAUAUCCCAAUUUAUCAGUCGAUAAUAAGUCGACCAACGCAAAUUAAUUAUAGCAAUUCUUCCUGACGCUCCUCUCAAGCUUUAUUCGUCAAGCCUUUUGCUACCUUCGUUUCGAGAAACCUUGGACAUGCCAACCGGUGAAUCACCCCCAUCGAUCACCCAUCCUUUUCCGGUACCGUGACCUACAUUUUGAUAACACGAGAAAGUGAAGCGUGACGAACCGGUUCGGGGAACCGCUGACAACACUUCCCUCCAAUAGAACAGUGCUGUCGAGGGGUUUUCGGUUGCUGUGGACGCUUUUCGCCGGCUAGUGUGGAUCGUUUCCAGGGCAAUGGUUCCCGGUUCGUUGCCCAAAACGCUGUAAUGAUGGUUCUAACGAACGUUUGCUCACUAUAGUUUGUUCAGGGCGUAUAUGAAAUACAUCCAGAGCUCGGUCUCGAUAAUGUAUGCCAACCGUUUAAGGUUGCCGUCUGAACCACCCCACCCAAGGGGAUCAAGAAGAAGUUGAUGUCAGUUUUGCUCGUAACUAAGUAAUUUGUUCCCCCACUGGGUCAUACAGGUGGAAAGGCAUGUUGUGAGUGAUACUGUGGUUACUAUGUUAAUAAGUUGCACAUUUUAUAAUGGAUGUGCCCGCAUGUGGUUAGGUUUUGUCUGGAGUUGAAGAAGCUACAUCAUGCAAAGAAGAAUGGAAAAGAAUGGCAACGCAUUUC